Molecule: small nuclear RNA, 100 nt
Filed under: Sciurus carolinensis (gray squirrel)
Lineage: Eukaryota; Metazoa; Chordata; Mammalia; Rodentia; Sciuridae
Also listed under: 1 other name
Source: RNAcentral
GUUCCCUUUGGCAGCACAUACACUAAAAUUGGAACAGAGAAGAUUAGCAUGACCCUUGCAUAAGGAUGAUAUGCAAAUUCAUGAAAUGUUCCAUAUUUUU